UGAAGUAGGUCCCAAGGGUAUGGCUGUUCGCCAUUUAAAGUGGUACGCGAGCUGGGUUUAGAACGUCGUGAGACAGUUCGGUCCCUAUCUGCCGUGGGCGCUGGAGAAUUGAGGGGGGCUGCUCCUAGUACGAGAGGACCGGAGUGGACGCAUCACUGGUGUUCGGGUUGUCAUGCCAAUGGCACUGCCCGGUAGCUAAAUGCGGAAGAGAUAAGUGCUGAAAGCAUCUAAGCACGAAACUUGCCCCGAGAUGAGUUCUCCCUGAGACUAUAAGUCUCCUGAAGGAACGUUAAAGACGAUGACGUUGAUAGGCCGGGUGUGUAAGCGCAGCGAUGCGUUGAGCUAACCGGUACUAAUGAACCGUGAGGCUUAACCUUACAACGCCGAAG
This 389-nucleotide ribosomal RNA is filed under the name Klebsiella pneumoniae. Its description in RNAcentral is "partial 23S ribosomal RNA". It matches the Rfam family "Bacterial large subunit ribosomal RNA", at positions 2554 to 2925 of the family's 2925-position model. Lineage: Bacteria; Pseudomonadati; Pseudomonadota; Gammaproteobacteria; Enterobacterales; Enterobacteriaceae. The record is from RNAcentral.